This 292-nucleotide ribosomal RNA is filed under the name uncultured prokaryote. RNAcentral's name for it is "partial 16S ribosomal RNA". It matches the Rfam family "Bacterial small subunit ribosomal RNA", at positions 505 to 796 of the family's 1533-position model. The record is from RNAcentral.
GUGCCAGCCGCCGCGGUAAUACGGAGGAUCCAAGCGUUAUCCGGAAUCAUUGGGUUUAAAGGGUCCGUAGGCGGCCUUAUAAGUCAGCGGUGAAAGUUUUUGGCUUAACCAAAAAAUUGCCGUUGAUACUGUAGGGCUUGAAUUUUUGUGAAGUAACUAGAAUAUGUAGUGUAGCGGUGAAAUGCUUAGAUAUUACAUGGAAUACCAAUUGCGAAGGCAGGUUACUAACAAACGAUUGACGCUGAUGGACGAAAGCGUGGGUAGCGAACAGGAUUAGAAACCCGUGUAGUCC